CCUAUGGCCACACCACCCUGAAUGUGCCCGAUCUCGUCUGCUCUCGGAAGCUAAGCAGCGUUGGGCCU
This 68-nucleotide ribosomal RNA is filed under the name Andrias davidianus (Chinese giant salamander). Lineage: Eukaryota; Metazoa; Chordata; Amphibia; Caudata; Cryptobranchidae. The record is from RNAcentral.